This is a long non-coding RNA of Vidua chalybeata, 3428 nucleotides long. RefSeq lists it as uncharacterized. The record is from RefSeq and is a predicted model, not a curated record. Lineage: Eukaryota; Metazoa; Chordata; Aves; Passeriformes; Viduidae. The transcript is spliced from 4 exons.
GGCCCGGGCAGGGCCGCUGCCAGCACCGGGCCCGGCGCAGGCCGCUGCCCGAGCCCAGCCCUCCGCGGCCAGAUUGUUCAUCGCUGUUGCCUGUGCGCAGAGACCAGCGGGAAAAUGCAUCAGCUUUUCCCCCCUUCCUGCGUGGCGGAGACAUUUGUGGCGCUUCUGAAGUGGGGAAGGCAAGCAGAGGUGUCAGCUCGCAAGAUUAGCUGUCCUCUCUUUGUUUCAAAUGCCAGAAAGUAUUUGUUAGGAAAACAGUCCUUGUGACACACCGGCACCGAUUCCCUGCCGCCUCCUAUGAAGAGGCACUGUGGUUCUUGUCACGGCACACUUUGCGACGGAGGAGGCAAAUGGAGACCCCGUGAGAAGGGAGUGGGCCAGGACGUGCGGGGAAUACGCAGCGCACACAGCGAUUGCCCGAGCUGCAGUGUAUCCGCAAUCCAGAGAUCUGAUGUCAUCGCCUCCCAGGCAGUUCUCCAGUGUGCAGGCGCAGCCAUCUGUGCAGCGGAUCAUUUGUUACCCCUGUAGGCCUCCGACACCGACCACCAACAAACCACCGGCCAGCUCCAAGUAGGGCGAGCACAAGACUUCUCACUACAGGACACCAGAAAUGCUCUAGUCAAAAAAGAGGUGCACAGAGGACAUAUGGAUCUAAGAAGUCACCUUUAGGAAGUCACAGUAAUACUUACUUGUCUGGAUGGGAACAAAGCAGUUAAGGAAACAAGUAAAGCCAGUGCUUUCCAGCAGCUCUUCUGUUCCACUUAACAGCAACAUCAGAAAAACAUUAACAGCUUCAGUGAGGAGGUGGACUGCUGUGAGCUCUAUCAAUGCUCUCAUUCUAUGCUUCUGACAUGCAUAUUGGGAAUCUGUGCUGUGACCCUUUUGAAAGCAUCAGCCCAGAAAACACUGUGUUGUUGGAACAAUCCCUCUGGUCUUAGCCUGCCUCGCCUCAUGAUGCUCAAAAUGCAGUGACACAGAAGGAAGCCUACAUCAAGUCAAACAAGCAAGCAAUUAGAAACAAGCUUGCCAUUGGCAGCCAGCUGAGGGAAAAAACAAACUCCCUAACAAAACAACAAGAAAACCUCACUAUUUUAUUCACAUCCAAGCUUUCAGAGGCAGUCUAUGUGCUGACCUGUAUUUUUUUUUCUACUUAGUUAAUACCUUUCUCUUAAAGAUGCAGUGCUACAGUUAUCAGACACUUUAGGAUGUACCACUUCCACAGAUGAAGGAACUUAACACAGGGAGUUUCCUGAACACCUCACGUUCUUUAAUAUACAUUUACAAAGAACUAUUCAUUGAGAUCUAAAUGUUUAUUCUGUUCAAGUGCUGUAGGGAAGAAUCAAAAACUAUCACCUAAGGACCUGGGCCAUUAACACGGGUAUCUGUGUUUGGCAGAGUUAAUAGGCAUUAUUCUAACCUAAUCUGAACAAGGAGUCUAGUUUUUCCCAAACACAGAGCAUUGAUAGAAACUGGAAAAUGAAAAAACAUUUUUAUUUCACCCUUAUUUUCCAGUUAAGCUACAAGGAGAUUUACUUAUUCAUUUAUAGAGUGUUUCAGUGCCUGUUCAAAGUUAAGCACUUAAGCACCUCCCACUGGCCAGGGAAGGAGACCGGUCCCACAACGCUGUUAGUUAGCAUGAGGGAGCAGCAAAGGUGGCUGCUGCUGGGGGAAAGGUGAGCCAGGGAGGUACGAGCAAGGCAGGCAGAGAAGCGGUGCCAACUACAAGAAAGAGUCCCACAGUACCUGAGUGAGGAGAGCAGAGCAGGGCCAGCAGCAGCGAGAAGGGUGAGGCCUUGAGCAGCAGCCAUCUGCAGCAAGGAACAGGUCCAAGGGCAAAGCAGGCAGCCAGCAGGGCAGACACAGAGUCAGGGAAGCAAAAGACUAGCUCUCAUGCUUGAGAGAAGCUGCUAAGGCACAGCAGAGAAGGCUCAAGUGGAACUUUUCUCCACCUGGCUGUUUUUCAGCAGCCUGAUGGGGGUCACACAGGUGCAGCACAUCAUGGCUGAGCCAACCCCUGGGGCAGUGAGGCUGCAGAGCUGGGGGGGCACUCAACCCCUCACAGUUACUGUCACCACCCCACUUGUCCCAGUGGUCACAAACAGCUGAGGCCCUAACCCACCCUCUUGAGACAGCAGGACUCCUCCAGCAGGAUAGUGAUGCUGACAGACUGAACAAAUGAUCAACAGAGGCAAGAAGAAUUAUAUCUGCUGCAUGGACUGCACUAUUGGAAAUGAACUCAAGGGUCUGGAUAGAAAAGAAGUGAAGGCCUUCCUCUGGUCUAAAAGGUAUGACCUAGUCAGUCUUGCUACUCUUGCAGUUUCAUAUUCUAUUAUUACCAUGAUUUUCAAGAGCAAUAAUUCUUUGUAGUUAGGAGAGUUAAUAUUAUCUGUCUUGCCAGGAUUGCAAUUGUUCUUAGGUGGAAUCCAGAGCUAUGCAUUUAGCUCCAUCAGUGAGUGGCAGAAUAGUGCAGGUUAAUGCUCUGGAUGGGGAUAUUGAGGUUUGGCCCUGGAAUCCUACUGCUGUCAACUGCUGAAUCCCAAUCUGUGGAUGAUACCUCAAAGGAGUGUAUCCCAGAAAUUAGACAAGACUGGUAAAACUCUGGGUGUUGGGUGUCAAGUGAGUUCCUUGCCUAAGAGCCAGAGCAGCAUGAGAGGGAGCUGGGAGGGGCUGAGAGUGUUCAGAGUUUGGCAGAGGACGUGAUACAGGGAGGUGUGUAUGAGAAUGUGGACAUGGUGGGAAUUUUCUGGGUGUUAUUUCAGUCUUUUGGCUUGGUUCAGCACAGAAGGUGUUCCUGGCAGUGAGCUAAAGAAGGAAUUGGGCAUUGUACAAGCAAUGUAACAGCAGGCUGAGAGUGAGAAUGAAGAUGCUGUGCCUUGGAGUGAAGUCAGGUUGGGGAUUCAAUGUGUGCAAGGAGUUACAGUCCAGAGAUGGCUCCUGAGUGUUUGCUGGGAAGCAGAAGGGCAUUGUAGAUCUGCAUGGUAACGUGGAGAUGCACCCACACGGGCUGUACCUGGGCCAUGUGGGAACAGUGCCAAGUGGGGAAUGAGCUGCUUGGUGAGGACCACAAGAGCUAAAUGAGUAUUUGGAGUCAAGACCCAAAUUCCUGUAUUUUGUGUGUACACUCAUUUUGUGUUGGGCUGGAAAGAUUGGAGAAUUCAUGAAGUGAACAAGGAACUAAAAGAUCCAGGUAGAACUCCUUGAUUAGUUUCACAUGGGCAAUUCUAAGUGAACACAGAGGGCGAAGUGGGAAAAAGGAGAAGCUCUGUCAGGCAGUUCCCCAAAACACCAAACACAGAAGCAGGGAGAGGGCUGCUCGAUAGUGCUGGCAGUGUUGCAACACAGGAUCUGGAAGUUUGUGGAAUGGCCGUGGUGCUUACAUACGAAAUAAAACAAGUUCCCUCCAUAAAAGUCCUGCCUGUGCCUAUAUC